Molecule: long non-coding RNA, 509 nt
Organism: Rosa chinensis
Lineage: Eukaryota; Viridiplantae; Streptophyta; Magnoliopsida; Rosales; Rosaceae
Exons: 3
Source: RefSeq, a predicted model, not a curated record
UCCUCCCUAAAUCGAUCUAGGGCUCCGACGAAAGUAGGGGACGAAGCAACUGGUGGAUCGAGGCGGCGAAGGGAGGCUGCGAAGCCGGCGAGACGAGGCUGCAAAGCCAGUGAAGGGAGGCUGCGAAGGGAGCAUCAAAUCUCUGAUUCUCUUUCGCUUUCUUUUCACUAUAUUUCUAAGCUUGGCUUAUACUAGCUCAUGGAUCCCUUCGAUUUGGUGCAAAAAGGGCUCAGCAACAUUUUGUUUGUAGGUCAGUAGCUAUGUGAAAGGAUUAGAGUUGUAAUCGCCAAAGCAUUUUUGGGCACACUUUGUCAUCCCUGCUCUGUGUUGCCGGUUGACUUGCAGGAUGGAGCUAAUGAAAGCAAUGCUGAUGUGAGCAAACGCAAGAAGGCCAGGCUAGUAUACUACUGGGGGUCAGUAUACUACUAGGGAUCAGUACACUACUGAGGGUCAGUAUACUACUGGGGCUAGUAUACUACUGGGGCUCAAUAUACUACUGAGGGUCAGUA